CAACCUUCAGCCAGACUCCCACCCGUGCACGAAGCUGCAGCGAGCUCGAUCCAAACCACGCGUGAAUCGCGCGAUCCCUAACCCCCUCUCCAAUCCGAGUACAUCAGGAGACUCCUCUCGCUCGUCUCAACCGAUUACAACACCUAGUGCUCCAGAUCCGCCUCGAUUACGAGCUCCCGAUCUCGCCGGAGUUCCGGCGCUGUUGACCUCUGCCAUCGUCGUUUCUGUCGCCUACAGAGGGUCCCUGAGUCUCUUUUCCCCGCUGUCCUCCUUGCCUUGAUCUCCUCUACCGCCUUGACCCUCUAUCUCGCACAGGGGGCACCGAACCGAGCGCAAAGACCUCGACCCGAAGAUCACCGUCGACGCCGGAGCUCCAACGCCACUGCAUUGCCGCCAGAGGACGCUCCCAUCGCCGUUGAUGACACCAUCGUCACAGCCGUUGAACGCGUCGACAGCCCGUCACCUCGCCUUCGCCGGAGAACCGCCGUAGGAACGCCGCCGCCCACGCCCGAGUAUUCCUCUGCUUCCGAUUUGCUCUGAGCGUGACGAGUAGAAUUAUCAGGAAUCGUGAGUGCGACGAACUUCAUCAAACGUAUCAGGCAAGUUACACCUUGAUCAUCCUUCAUCCUAUUUUUUUUCUAUGCAUGUAGUUAUAUAUAUCACAUUACUAUAUCAUGCAUGUGUAGGAAGAUUAUGGUAGCAUGUUAUUGCUACUGAAUUUCAGCUUAGUAUGGCCUUAUUUGUAUACCGUGGUAGUGUAUUUCUUGCUAUGCUAUGUAGAUGGGGAUUGGCUUGUGUAUGCAUCAAAAUUAUGCGAGGACUAUAUAUAUAAUAACUUGAGUAAAAACAUAAUAUAUAAUUCACCUCUGGACGGACAGGGUUGCAUCAUGGAAUUUCUUGUUCCUUUUCUACGGUAUUGCUGGGUGGUUUCAAGAACAUCAUGGUUUAUACCCUCUGAAUGUAAGUGGGUGCCGUCCAGGCUCAAAAAGAUCAGACAGACUUAGUGACUAGUAGCUUCCAUUUACAGCCAGUGGCUAAUAUGGGCUCUGGCUUAGUUGAUCGGUUGUGGAAACCUUACCCGGAUGUACCAGCAGAUGUAGUUAUGAUAGUUGGGACGGGCCUCCUGUGGGACUAGGCGACUGCUUCUGAAAGACUUUGUCUCAAUCUUCAGGUUGAGUCCAGUGGGUAAAGUGUACAGACCUCUGCAGAGUCUAUAAACUAAUCAUGAUUAGCCGUGUCCCCGGUUAUGGACAAAUUUGAGCGACUAUGCCAUUACAGUUGUUGGAUGAUCUUGACAGAUGAUACUUUAAUAAAAAUUGUGUGGGAAAAUUUAAUAAUGGGGAUAGGUUGGAAUUGGAUUGCCCAAUUCAGCCAUAUAUAUUUAAUUUAAUUGUAGCAAGGCAUAAUUAAAAUUUGACUAUUAUGUAGUUAUCAGGGGAAAUUGGCUUUUCUGCAAAACAAACCACCACUAUCCUCUUGAUAUACCUUGCAUAGGUCUGUUAUAUCAUUCCUUGUGUGACUUGCCAAUACAUUCAAAGUAUUGACCCUUCGUGGCUGCAACGUUUCAUGUUGCAGAUUUUAUACGACAAGUGAGUGAUACGAUGUAGGGUUACGAUGUCUAUACUCGACAUUUUCCUGUGGUGUUGAUGGAUUCCAUGAAGAUUUUAUUUGCUUUUCUGCUGUGUUUUUGUUAUGAGCUAGCCUUGAGCUAUGCAGGUAUGUAUUAUAUUAAAUUCUGGAUCUACGAUGUAAUAUUAUGACAUGUGGUUUAUUCUUGA
This is a long non-coding RNA of Triticum aestivum (bread wheat), 1778 nucleotides long. RefSeq lists it as uncharacterized. NCBI's taxonomy places the organism in Eukaryota, Viridiplantae, Streptophyta, Magnoliopsida, Poales, Poaceae. The transcript has 2 exons. The record is from RefSeq and is a predicted model, not a curated record.